Long non-coding RNA from Anolis carolinensis (green anole), 38150 nucleotides. RefSeq lists it as uncharacterized. The transcript has 2 exons. The record is from RefSeq and is a predicted model, not a curated record. NCBI's taxonomy places the organism in Eukaryota, Metazoa, Chordata, Lepidosauria, Squamata, Anolidae.
GUGAUUCUGUGUAUAUUCCAGACAUUGCAGUAAUAUUUUAAAAAAUGCUACAGGAAAAAAAACCAAUAUGCCCCUAGGCUUGCAAAUACUCAUAAAGAAAUUAAAGAACCGAUAAAGUAACAAUUUGUUUUAUUGAAGGGCUGAAAUAAUGAAUUAAUUAUUGAAUAUUUGGAGAACAUUUUAAAAUAGUAAUCUUAUUAAACCAAUGUUCAUGAUAAGCUUGACUCACUGAUUGAAAAUGCUCUUGAUUUCCUACCAAUUGCAUCAUCCAGUGUUUUUGUACCUUUGGUGUGUCACCAAUUGGUGAAAUGAAGGACAUGUUCUCAGUGAGGCUGUGCUAUGUUUAUAGAUGAUACAUCAGUUUCUCAGUCAUGGUAAUUUUAUGUUUCUUUUCAUUUUCUGAUGCCAAAUCUAAAUCCUUCCUUGUUACACUAGUAUUUCAUUUGUGGUUUGAAAUUCCUCAGCUUUGACAAUCCUGUUAGUCCUGCGUGUGUGUGCGGGUGGGUGGGAUUUCAAAGAAAGCUGUUUUCAUGAUCUCUGAUUUCAAUUUAUUGGGUAGCAGCUUAAAUUAUGAUUCCUGGACAUCAUGACUACAUUCUCAUACCCAGAGAAUGAACUUUUCCUUGAUGACUCACUCCUCUAUGCAUGCGCUCCAAACUUCAGUCCAUCUGGCUGAUAGUCAGAUAUGUGAAACUCAGUGCAAUACAUGGAGUGUCACUCAGAGUUGUCUUAUCAUUCCAUUUUAUUGCUACUAUUAUGGCUAGUGCUGCUGGUUCUGCUCUCACCACCACUACUACUACUACUAGUAGUGUUUGGUUUAUCUACCUGACAUAGGUAUUUGCUUGGGAAGCGAAAAAAGGGAUAAAUGUUCUGCCAAUUUUCCUCAUUGUGAAACUCACGAGUUAACUCAUUCACACAUUCCAUCCUUUCCAAUACAGUGUUCCCCCACUUAUCAUGGGGGUUAGGUUCCAGGACCACCCGCAAUAAGUGAAAAUCCGCAAAGUAGGGACACUAUAUUUAUUUUAAUAUUUAUACAUUAUGUUAGUAGUGUAUAUUUUGUGUAUAUUUAGUGUAUAUUUUAAGUCUUUAUCAACCAAUUGUGUGUUGAUAAAUCGCCUCCUUCUCCUCUCAUUGCUGCUUGGGCUCCUUUUCUCUCCCUUUGGCUUUUCCUUCCUCCCUUCCUUAGGCUGUAAAUUGUAAUUUUUUAAUGAUUUAUAAUAGUCUUUUAGAGUUUAUUGAAAAACCACAAAACAGCGAAUCUAAACCUGAUCCAACAAGUCUGCAGUGAAGUUUGACAUAUUUAGGGUUAAAUCCAGUUGUCAGUCCUAACUAGAUCCACUAGAUUAAUGGAUUUGACACGUGUUUUGUCAUACAUUUUUUCAGUUGAUUUAAUGAAAGUGAUCUAGAUGGGACUAAUGAUUUGAUGCAGGGGUUUAUUUAUAGAACAUUUUCUGCAAGCCAGACUUGUUAUGUGGCCUGGGUUAAUGUGGAGCAUACUUUCCUUUUUAUAUAUCCUUUCCAAACUAGGGUUUACCUUAAGAAUCUGCUUGUUUGUUUUUUCUCUCCAGCUAUUUGGUUUUCUCUGGUACAGCACAGCUGCAAGAUGCUGGAAAGCAGACUUAAACUGACCAUAGUACUUCUGUCAGACAGUGAGCCAUGUGGAGUAGUUCAGAUUUGAGUUCAACAAGUUAUUGCUUCGAAGUGUUUAUCUGUAAUAAAAACAACACUGGAGUGCUUUAUCAUUCCAUACUUGUCUAGCAAGGACACAUGAAGAAAAUUAAAAAGGCAGGUUACAGAUUAACACCACAACUGGAAAACUUUUUUUACAAGAGUGCCCAUAUGCUAGUGCACAGAUUAUGUAAAUGUUGAAAAAACAUUUUCAUGUGCUAACCAACACCACCUGUUUUUACGUAAUUCUAGCAUUAAGUAAGUUUCAGGAAGGUCCUACCUAAGAUAGGAGCCCCUGGUGGCACAGCAGGUUAAACCGCUGAGCUGCUGAACUUGCUGACUGAAAGGUUGGUGGUUCAAAUCUGGGGAGAGGAGUGAGCUCCCAUUGUUAGCCACAGCUUCUGCCUACCCCGUUUUCCCGAAAAUAAGACAGUGUCUUAUAUUAAUUUUUGCUCCCAACGAUGUGCUAGAUCUUAUUUUCAGGGGAUGUCUUAUUUUUUCAUGAAGAAGAAUUCACAUUUAUUGUUGAACAAAAAAAUGAACAUCACAAGCCAGCAUAGAUCAGGUCUUCCAGCUCGGAAAAUAAUGGUUGCAGACCUGAUCCACACUUGGGCUUUUUAGCAUUUCCAUUGUCCACUUGUUGACUGAGGUUAAUGUAAUCUGCUCGCCAUUUUCGGACCAAUCUGAUAUCCAACAUAUUCUCUUUGCAGAAAGCAGUAAGAUUUUUGCCCUGAGAGUCUUACACGAUUCCUAUCUUGUACUCCACAGAAUAGCUCUUUCUUUUUGCGUUCAUGUCUAGGGGGAAAAUAUACCAGCACUGUUUAUUCCUUGUACUUUAGACCCUUCAGCAGAAAAUCUGACACUCCCUAAAGAAUCAAUAAAUAAUAAUAAUAAUUAUAAUAGUAAUAAUCUUUAUUUAUAUCCCGCUUUUCUCUCUCACAGGACCCAAAGUGGCUUACAACAUAUUAAAAUCAUAUAAACAGCAAUCAGAGUACAUUAAUAAUAUAAACAUAAUAAGAUAAACAUUAAGAAAAACAACUACAGUACACAUUCAAGUUCAUGAGGUAUCAUAUCAAGACAUAUAUUGCACUCUACUCCAGUCCAUAACAUAUGAUAUUCCUGUCAUUCCUGAUUAAUUUUCAAGAUUUGAAUACCCUUUCAUAAAAGAGGGAAAAGGCAGCUCAGAUUAUGAUGUGCAUUACAAGUGACAGGUUAUCAUCCAGUGUACAAAAAUAUUGAUGUACUUGCCAAAUUUCAGAACCAGACAAAGUGAGUCACAUGAAGAAAAAUGUAAUUAAUUGUUUUAUUUUAGAAGAGGGAUCUGUAACUGCCAGAGGUCCAAGGAAUAGAGGUCCAUACUGGAGCUUAGAAGCUUACAUUCCCUUCCCAUGCCAUCUGUCUUUAUCUGCAAAAUGUUUUUUUUUAACUCAAAAGGCUCCUUGUGGCAUCUAAGUGGUGUGAGGAACAAUUUCAGGGUUUUUGUUUGUUUAGUCUUAAAGUCAAGAACAUCUGGAAUCUGCACUGACAGCUUCAAAGACCCAGUUUGAUGGAACAGAAAGGAUGGAGGGCCACAGGAAACAGCUUGUGGAGUUUGCACAUUGCCCAUCUCACACAUACAUAUAUAUGGUAUAUCAAAAACUUAGGAUUCAGGUGGAUGGUCAGAGCACUCUUUUAAGGUCAAUGGAAAGUGGGUUUUGCACUACAAGUCCCAUCAGGCCUUAGUUAUGGAAUGGUGUGAGUUGCAGGUCAGCAAUGUCUACAACAGAAUGCAUUCAAAGCCACAAUGCCUCCUUCCUCAUUUGUCUCCCUUCCAAAAAGUAGAAAUAAUAAUAAUAGACCUUUCUUGAAAAAUGUACCUGGUUCACAAUACACUAUCUGGCACACACUGGGCGAGGAAGAGGCAGGAAAGGCACCCACGUGAAAAGUGAGGAGGCGGGAAAGUGAUUAGGCAGGAAGGGCUCACAUCUUACCCUCCUACCUCAGCGGCAGCAGCGGAAGGGAAAGGAAAAGGCAGGAGAGAAGGAUCUCAUUCGUGCAGCACUGGCCAAGGAAAAAGGAGAAGCUGCUGCUCCCGUGUUUCCCUUCCUCAGAGGCAGCGAUGGAAGGGGAAGGGAAAAGCGUGAGCAGCACCUUCUUCUCCUUCACACAGCACCGGCCAAAGAAGGAGAAGCUGCUGCUCCCAUGUUUCCCUUUCCCUUCCUCAGAGUCAGCGGCGGAAGGGAAAGGAAAAAACAGGAGAGAAGGAUCUCAUUCACACAGCACUGGCCAAAGAAGGGGAAGGAGAAGCUGCUGCUCCCACGUUUCCCUUUCCCUUCCUCGGAGGCAGCGUUGGAAGGGAAAGGGAAAAGCGUGAGCAGCACCUUCUUCUUAUUUGCACAGCACCGGUCAAAGAAGGAGAAGGGAGCCCCGGCGGCGGGGGCGGCAGAUCCCUCCUAGAUCUUACUUUUGGGGGAGGUCUUAUAUUUGGCAAUUCCCCCAAACUUGUACUAGGUCUUAUUUUAUGGGUAUGUCCUAUUUUCGGGGAAACACGGUACCUAGCAAUUCAAAAACAUGCAAAUGUGAGUAGAUGAAUAGAUACUGCUUGUUGUACCUCAGCGCUGGUUCACCUUGCUCUUAACACACACUCCACCACAACAGACUUGAUUAAAACAGUUUAUUGAUAAAAGAUAGUAAAGUCUGAAUAAAAAUCAGUAAAGAAGGCAAUAAUCCCAAUGCAAGGCAGUCUGUAGAAUAAAGUUCAAAGUCUCCAAUAUAGCAAAUCAAUCCUGAAAACAAGACAGCAGGGACUUCAAAACACAAUCCAAAAUACGAGAUCCAGGCAUGAACAAAAGCAAGAAUACUUUUCCAUGAGCAUAGACAAGACAGGAACUUUGCUUCCAAAACCAAUGUUGCUUCGUCUGAAAUCUUUCCCUGUUUCUCCUUUAUUUAACCAUGCUUACUGUCCAAGAAAGCAUUCCUUUACCCUUGGGUUCCCACAAGUUUACCAGCUAUCUUAAAAGAACAUCUGGGACGAUGAACUUUUUACCUUAACCUUGCAUCCCUAUCUAAGGAAGACUCCUAUGACUCGCUGCCAGAGACACCUGGUACUUGUUGAUGUUCUGAACUCUGCUGAUGUUCUGAAUCCUGUGAAAGGUCACCCCUAUCACUGGCUUCUGCCCCAGCGCUAGUCUGUUUAUCACAGGCUUCUGAUUCACUGCUAUUCUGCGGCCUCUCUAACAAUUCAGAGCCUUCAACAUUUCCCUCAUCAACAUUUCCGUGGUCAGCCUGCAUAAACCCAAAUUCCCCUUCAUCAUCAGACUGAACCACAAUACUGCUCCAGCGAGAGGGUAACAGUGCUCCAUGCAGUCAUGCUGGCCACAUGAUCUUGGAGCUGUCUAUGGACAAUGCCGGCUCUUUGGCUUAGAAAUGGAGAUGAGCACCAACCCCCAGAGUCAGAUACAACUAGACUUAGUCAGGGGAAAACCUUUACCUUUACCUUUUACUUCCUAAGGUAAAGAUAUAAACAAAGAAAAAUACUUUUGAUUGAUGGAUCUCUCUGUGUGUAUAUAUAUUAUAUACAUAUAUAAACAGUAGAGUCUCACUUAUGACGAUUAAUAGGCUUUUCAUUAAUCCAUCAUUAUCCAACAUAAACAGGAUAAGCUUUAUGAUUUUACAAAUUAAGCAUCAAAACAUCAUGUUUUACAACAAAUUGACAGAAAAAAUAGUUCAAUACACAGGCUCACUUCAAAGGACCAGUCUGAACGCAGAUCAAAGAUAGCUGCUCUCAAAUCCAAUCUUUAUUGAAGAAUACAUGACUUUGGAAAAGUCGAGAAUGACCUAAUGUUUACAUACAAUCAUUUUUAUCACCUCUGAUGCAACGUAACACCACACGCAAAUAUCAUCAUCAAACCCCACCCCUUGUAUCACAUUUCUACUAUUCCCACACACUAUACCAAUUAUAAUUGUUUAUACUUUCAACCCCGAGUUCCCAGGCUCAUUCUAUCUUCUUCUGCCAGGUGCUUCCAGGGUUAUUUAUGUUAUGACUCCAAGUCCAGGGCUUGGAAAUUCAGCCCUGGGACUUGUUUCCAUGACAAUGUUACGUAGUAAUUACUGUACAGUAAAGCCCUGCUCAUUUGAGCACCGCUCAUUUGAGUGUCUGGGCUAUCCAAGCCAAAUCGCCCCCCCCACUUACCCCGCCAGAUCCCGGUGCUGCCGGAAUCCAGCCAGGUGAGUGAGCGAGGGACGGAGGGCAGGCUCGCUGGCUGGCUCCACCAGGCUGGGUGCCGACCCCGGCAUGGCAAAGGAGCCGAGCCACGGAGGGCGGGCGAGUGAAGGAGGAGGGCCUUUGCGGCCCUCCGUGUUCUCCCAGUCAUUCACUGGCUCCUUCGGUAAGCCAGGUGCUGGUGCUGCCAACGCCUCACCUGUUGAAGGAGCCGAGCCAGCGAGUGGGGGAAUGGGGAGGCCAUCCCUGUUCACCCACUCGCUCAUUGGCUCCUUCGGCAGGCUUUUCCUUAAUCCCUCCUUAUUAUCCAAGAUUUUCGCUUAUCCAAGCUUCUGCCAGCCUGUUCAGCUUGGAUAAGCGAGACUCUACUGUAUUUACAAAUUUAGCACCAAAAAAUCAUAAUGUAUUGAAAACAUUGACUACAAAAACAUUGGCUACUAACAAAUUGACUACAAAUAAAAAUAGAAUUGCAUAAAAUGAACUUACAGUAAUAACAUUGUUGGAAGUUAAAUCCGUAAAAAGUUCAGUCCUUGCUGCCUAAAGAAAUAGCUGUGGAUCAUGGCGGGAGGCAGACUGCGUUGGAUCAUCCAGAACGUUGAAUAAGCGAAGGUUGGAUAAGCGAGAACCCACUGUAUUUGCUAAUGAUUAGUGAAGCCUGUUCAACUGCAAGAAAUAAUUUCAAUUGUGUUGGUUUUCAUUAUUCUAUCCCUUGAAGUCAUAUUUGUCAUAAGGAGACCCUGUGGUGAACCUAUCGUGGAGUGUUCUUGGCAAAAAUUGUUCCAGGAGUGUGUGUGUCUUUGCAUCCUUCUGACACUUAGAGAAUGUGAUUUCCCAAAGUCACCCAGUGGGUUUCUCUGUCCGAGUGGGGUUUUGAACCCUAGACUCAUAAUCAUGGCACAAAGCUGGCUCCUUAAAUAAAAAUAUACUGACUGUCUUCAUAAUAUUGCCAGAAAAGAUGCAGAGAGAUUCUCUCUGGAUAUAGAAUCAUCUCCUUGGUGCUUUAGGGCUCCCUCAACAUAUGUGCUACCUGAGGGGUAUAAGAGCAAAUAUAUUUUGGCCACCUGAGAGUUCUCUCAAACAGCACCUGCGUUUGCUUUCCUCCUUUACCAGAUUGUGCUACAGAAAAGUUUCCCUUGGGUCUAAUUUGAUUCCUUAGGAAUACAGGGUUUGUUCUCACUAGCCAUAUGUAUGCUGUUGCAUAAGCAUGGCAUAUUCUUAUCUGCUACUUAUAAAUGAUAACCCUCGGGUAGUUAACAAACAGUUAUCUAGGAGAGGGGAUAUAGUUAAAUUUCUUCGUUCCGGAAGUGUUAAACUUUUCAGAUGGAAGUGACAAUACAAGAUCACAAAUUCAACUUCGUUUGAGUGGAUACACCAAUCUGAAACUGAUUCAGAACAGCAGUGUGAGUUACUAGUAGACGUUUGCAGGCUCACAUUGGUUGAAAUAGCCCUUAGCUUGAUGUCCUGGAGCAUUUUGACAAAGGAUACAAGUGUCUUGGUUUCGUGGAUGUUACACACAAUAAACAUAGUUGUUCCCUGAGUAAGACUGCUUCUCACUGCAUAUCUGUGGCAGUGGUAAGAUAUGGCACAACAGGAGUGGAACUAGGCAGCCACUUGGUCCAACCUUUUAUCUAUUCAUCCAUAGCUUUACAAUUUAUAGACGGCAAUGAUAUGGACAUGGUUUGGCACCUUUUAAUGAUUUUUUUUUUAAAAAAGACUAAGAGAUGCUUUAGAUGCUUCUUCUAUUUAAUCAGCCUAAAGAUCCUGAAAGUGCCAGGUCACAUUAGUUGCUUUAGUACGGUCAGGCCUGGUUAGUACUGGGAUGGGGAUCUCAAGGGAAUACCAGGUGAUGAAGGUAGAGGCCUGUGGCAAACCCCCUCUGACGAUUUCUUCUCAAAGAAACUAUGAAACUUGAAGGAAUACACAUAUGGACCACGCAUACAUGGGUCUUGGUGCUAGUUCUUACUUUGACAGACAGAGUGAUGACUCCUAUUAUUAUUAUUACGGGAAAGUAGAAAUAUUUGCUUCUCAUGACUUAGAAAUCCUUUCAAGCUCUCCUCCCUGUUCUUUCCCCUUUCCUUUCUCUUCUAUUUCUCUGCCACACUCUUUUCCCUUGGCGCUGAUCUUUCUGUUCCUCCUCCUUGUUCCUUCAGUCUUACUGCUUACUCUUUUUCAAGCUCUGUCUCAGAGGCCUGCCUCUAUGUCAGUGGUUUUCAACCCUUUUUUGACCAGGGAUUACUUUGAUUUUUGUUGUUGUUAGCAGGUACUACAGGGUUCAAGAAUAAUAAACUGUGUUAAUCCAAACAUAAACUUUAAUCAUAACUUUUAACAUACAGUAUUUGUUAAACUUAAUAGUAACAUGAAUUAAGAGUACUAUUACAAUAUAAAAGGAACGUUUUUAGUAGAAAAUUAAAUUUGGUAUGCAUCAAUGUGAUUUUUUGAGCUUGUGUCUUCUUUACAAGUUGAGUAAUCCUGGGGCUAAUAUUAUUGCUCAAAGCUAUACACAUAUCAUCACUUAUUUUCAAUCAAUUCCUGGACUUGUUUUUCAUUACCAGCAAAGCAGAAAACCCUUGUUCACAUAAAUAAGUUAUGGAGAAGAGCAUAAAAUAGUGCAAGGUGAUUCCUCGAAUUUUAGUAUGAAAUUACUUUUUUACACCAAAACUCCUCAAAUGAAUCAGAUUUGAAUUUAUAUGAAUAUUGAGGACUCAUGGUCAGUAAAACUACUGGAGCCCAUGAAUCACUAAAUAUCAAAACAGAAUCACUGACAUAGUUGAGCAAGAUAAAAGAAUGUGUGCGACUGUUGGAAGCUGGGUGGCGUGAGUACUUGACAUGUGAUGUCAAUCGCUUGCCCUCCUCCUGGUCUUCCAAAUUCACCUGAUGUCCUACUCGCUGGCGCCGUCCGCGUAACAACGGAUACAUUAAAAUUUAAAAUGAAUAAAGGUUUAAAAUUUUAUAUGUUUCACAGACCAUAUUUUAGUUCUUACAAACUACUGAUGGUCCAUGGACCACUUGUUGGGAACCACUGCUCUAGGUUAACUAAGGUCUUUUACCUAGUACAGUGGUUCUCAACCUGUGGGUCCCCAGGUGUUUUGGCCUACAACUCCCAGUUUACCAGCUGUUAGGAUUUCUGGGAGUUGAAGGCCAAAACAUCUGGGGACCCACAGGUUGAGAACUACUGACCUAGUGGCUGAAGACCUUACUACAAGUUGCAGAUAUUUUAAUUCAAAGAAAUAUUUUAAAUGCACACAGUGUGCAGUAGUUUCUCAGCAUCCUGCCAAAUUUCAGGUGUUUUAUAUUUCACAGUAUUGGAACUAUAGAGAAAAUAAGCCUUUAUGCUUUAUUGUUGUUUAAUUGAAACAUUGAAAACCCACAGUAUUUAUUUAUGCUCCCAUAAAUAAAAAAAAACAAAAUUGUCCUCUCUGAUUUUUGUCUUUAUGAUGAAUAACAAAAGCACAUUAACAUUGAAUAGAACUUUAUUUUUGAGGAAAAAACCCUACUUGCAUUUGUCUGAGAUAAACAAAUAUAUUCCAGUAUUAUAAAUGGGCUUUACUAAGGUGCACAUAUAGCUGUUGUUUCAUCCAUCCAAUAACAAACAACUUUAAUUGUAAGGGGCUUAAAAUGGCCUUUGUUUCCUGUGUCCCCAAUCAAUAUGUGAAGAGAGCCAGUAGCUUUGGGGAGAAAGGGAAAUAAUUCUUGACAUACACAUGGAUUUUUUAAAAAAACCAUAUUUCUUGGCAUGGUAUUGUGAUUGUACUCACUUUGAUAAUCUGAACUUCUGCUGUUACUCUCUUAGGACCUCAUUCUGUGUGUAUAUGUGUGGGUAGCAUCAUGUAAACAUGGCGUUUAAUCUUAAUCUUAAUUUAAUUUAAUCUUAAUUCCCCUGCACACAGCAUGGCGUUUAAUCUUAAUUCCCCUGAAAACACAGAAAUGCUGGACCACUCUAACCACCAUGUCAGACUACACAAAGAAGCCAUUGAAAUCCACAAGCAUGUGGACAAUUUCAACAGAAAGGAGGAAAACAUUAAAAUAAACAAACUUUAAAAACAUGGCAGUAAAUAAAGAACAACACUCAGUAAACAGGGAAUUCCUGACAAGAAACAAUCAGGGCUAGCUAACACCUCCCAACAAAGGAUGCCCCCAGGAAGGAAGCAGCCAGGCUUUGAAGCUGCUAAUCAAGCUGGCCAAUUGUAACAUUCACACUUGCCUCAAACAGACAAGAGUUCUUUCUCCCACCCUGGACAUCAUUCCACAGAUAUAUCCCAAUUGCCUAGUUUCCAACAAAUCUCUAAGGAUACCUGCCAUGGAUGUGAGUGAAAGGUCAGGAGAGAAUGCUUCUGGGACAUGACCAUACAGCCCGGAAAACUCACAGCUACCCAGUGAUUCCGGCCAUGAAUGCCUUCGACAACACAUCUUUUUGUUGCUUUUUGUUGCUUCCUUUGAUACAAUCAGAAGUGGAAAGUAUUGGUUUUGGGUAGUAAAAUUUAGAAUUUCCUUACCUGCACGGCCACUGAGAAUUGUCAUUUGUUACAUCCACUCAUUAGAUUGAUAAAAUCUCACAUCACAGAGCUAGUUGCUUAUUUUUAUUUACUGUCUCACCAUAUCCCCUUCCUUCCCCUACAGCCUCCUGUGUCAGAUGUGAAGUUGCAAUCUUCUUAAGAUAGAGAGCUGUCUUGUGUUGCUUUUUUAAAGUACUGUAAACAAGCAUGCAAAGGCAGAAGUGCUCUUAGAUGUGCUGCAUUUCGUUGUGCUUGGAACAGUGCAUCCUUUGUGAAGAAGUUGUAUUGCAUAAUUUGCAGAUAUUGCCAAUAAUACAUUUUUGUUUCAUGUUAAAAAAGACAACUAGACAUCUAUCUUGUUUACCUUCGGUUGUUAUUGCAUACAUAGUAAUGAUAUUUAUUUAUUUAUUACCUGCCUCUCCUUUUGGCUUGAGGCAGGAUACAGCCUAGUUUAUACACCUAUAAAAUCAUAUUUUGAAGCAUAGUUAAAAUGCAACCAUAAAAACAGUUAUUAAACAUUAAAAUGCCUGAGAAUACAUGAACAUAUGUUGCACUGGAUGCUUUUUGAGAGGUGGAUGAAAUGCAUUUAAAUCAAAUACAGACAUUUAUGGGUGUGAUUAUUCAUAGAUUUGAUUGAUAUGUUCUCUCUUGGAACCUCUAGCUCCUCCAGCAUGAUUCUGUAGUCAUCGUUCAUCCAAAGUUUACUAUAGAGUUUUACUGGAGAACCUAGAGCAGUGGUUUUCAACCUGUAGGUCCCCAGGUGUUUUGACCUACAACUUCCAGGAAUCCUAGCCAGUUUGCCAGCUGUUAGGAUUUCUGGGAAUUGAAGGCCAAAACAUUUGGGGACCCACAGGCUGAGAACCACUGACCUAGAGAUUUCUAGAGAGAACACUUAUUUAAGCAUUUAUAGAUUCAUACGCUGAAGAUGACUUGAAGGGUUGCACACAUAUAUACCGUAUUUUUCGCUUUAUAAGACGCACUUCGCCCCCCCCCCCCAAAAAUAGAGGGGAAAAGUCAGUGCGUCUUAUAAACGUGAGAGGCGGGGUCCACGCAGCUCAGCCUUGCCAGUCUGGCCUUUUCCAGGGGGCCAGACUGCAGCGGAGGUCCCUGCAGGCCAAGAUCGCGAUCGCGGCCUGCAGGGACCUCCGCUUCAGUCUGCCCCCCUGGAAAAGGCCAGGGGGCGCUGGACGCAGUUCCUAUACCUUUUAGAUCACACGAGAAAGUAGCCCUUUGAAAUCUCAGGGCCCUUCCACACAUAUAACCCAGAAUAUCAAGAUAGAAAAUCCCACAAUAUCUGCUUUGAACUGGGUUAUCUGAAUCCACACUGCCAUAUAUUCCAGUUCAAAGCAGAUAAUGGGGGAUUUUAUUCAGCUGUGUGGAAGGGACCUUAGUCUCAGACUCUGUGUUUUUUGUUCUGUUUGGUCACAGUUAAAUUAAUUGUAUUAAACAAUAACGUUUCUAGCCAGGAAUUUCCACAAUGACCCACCUCUCUUAACAGAUUGUACGCAGUUAUCCAUACCCAAAGGCAUUUCUCUGUGAAUUUGGACGCGCUGGACGGGAGGCAAGGGAGGCAAAAUAAAAUGUGUGCCAAAAACUGUUAUGUGACUAUAACCCCAUCAUCCUAAAGAAUACACUGAUUUACUGUACACUGGUUUAUUCUUAUACUGUAGUCAUGUCAGUUACCGUAAGCCAAUAUUGGUACAAUACUUGGACAGUGUUCAUAUUUAAUGUGACUAUAACUCCCCUCAUCCUUAAGAAUAAACCAGUGUACAGUACCGUAAAUCAGUGUAGUCUUUAGGAUGAUGGGGUUAUAGUCACAGCUAGUGUCCCCAUGACUAUGCAGGACACAAUGCUGACAUCCAUUUUUUAUUACUAUAUUUUGUUGUAGAAAACUACCGUAAAUACAGUAAUCUCCUGCUGCAUCAAAAUUUAGAAAGAUGUCAGUGCAGAAAAGGCUCUCAUAUAGGAUCCCUUUUAAACUGGAGGUGAUAAAAUACACCAAAGAACAUGGAAACAGGGCCGCUGAGAGACAUUUCGGGCCACCUCCAACUGAAAAGAUGAUACGGGAGUGGAGGAAACAGGAGGAUCAGCUGCAGAAAGCAGAUAAGAGUAAGCACACGUUUCGUGGGCGUACUGCAAAAUGGCCACAGAUUGACGUGAAAAUGAAGGAGUGGAUCACACGUCACAGGAACAAUGGCUUCUCAGUAUCCACAAAAAUGAUCAUAUAUGAAGCCAAGCGUCUAGCUGCAGAGAAAGGCAUUGUGGAGUUCACUGGAUCCCCAUCAUGGUGCUAAAGAUUCAUGAGGAGAUGUGGCCUUGCUAUGCGCACCAAAACUAGAAUUGCACAAAAAAUGCCAAAGGAAUAUGAGUCCAAGAUUGUUUCUUUUCACAAAUAUGUGCUGGAUGCAAGAAAGAGAAAUGGCUAUGAAAUAGGCCAGAUUGGGAAUAUGGAUGAAGUCCCAUUAACCUUUGAUGUUCCAUCAAACAGGACCGUUGACGUGAGAGGCGCAAAAACCAUAACCGUAAAGACCUCGGGACAUGAGAAAACACAUUACACGGUUGUGUUGUCCUGCUGCGCAGAUGGGACCAAACUGCCACCGAUGCUCAUCUUCAAGAGGAAGAACAUGCCAAAAGAGGCGAUUCCAAAGGGUGUAAUUGUGCAUGUACACGACAAAGGGUGGAUGGAUGAGAACGGCAUGAAAGUAUGGGUCGACAAAGUGUGGUCCAAACGCCCUGGAGGGCUUCUGAAGAAACCGGCCCUACUUGUGCUUGACCAGUUUAGGGCACAUAUCAGUGAACCUAUAAAAAACAAGUUCAAAGAUGUGAAGACUCAUCUAGCGGUGAUUCCUGGAGGUCUUACCAGCCAGCUGCAGCCUCUGGAUGUGUCGAUCAACAAGCCAUUCAAGGUUUUUAUGCGGGAGGAGUGGAAUAAAUGGAUGGCUGCCGGAAACCACGAUCUGACACCUAGUGGAAGAAUGAAAAGACCCACUAUCGCCCAGGUCUGCGAGUGGGUGAAGUCUUCAUGGCAGUCAGUGAAGGAUGAAACGGUUAUAAAAUCCUUCAAAAAUGUGGCAUCAGUAAUGCGUUGGAUGGUUCUGAGGAUAAUGUCCUGUAUGAAGACUCCAGUGACAGUGAUAGCACUGUUAGUGAGCCACAGAGCUUGAGUUCGGACAGUAGUGGGGAUUUUUUGGGGUUUCUAGAUGACUAGGGGUGUAUUGUUCUAAAGUUUUGUUACAAUUAAUUACAGUAAUAAUGUUUCCUAAUGCUGCUGUUGACUGUUUGGUAAUGUCUACAUAUUACAUGUUAUUUUAUUAAAAUGUUCUAGGUCAUCUUUUAGUUCAAAUUAUUUUUCCCCAUUUUCUUCCUCUGAAAACUAGGUGCGUCUUAUCAUCAGGUGCGUCUUAUAAAGCGAAAAAUACGGUACCCAAACACACACCUUGGCUUGGCGACAACAAUAAGGAGAUUCUAUAAGAGCCAGAAAAAGGUGUAUUGAAAUCAGUCAUCUUUUCAUAGACAAAAAGAAAAUAAAUUAAGGGAGGAAGUUUGCAAGGGGAAGAGACUGAAGAAGGGAAGAACAUAUAAUAAUUGUUAUUAACUGCUAUCUCUUGAACACUUCUAAUACCCACUACUAAUACCUACUCUUACUAGCCUGUUUGCCAGGUUGAGUUUUCAGUGUGCCAACCAUUACUGGAUUUGUGCAGACCAUACAAUGAAGGAUAUUUUGUGGACAGACAGGUUAACAACCUGAUUGGUCCCUCUGCAUUAUCAUAUAAUUUAUAAUCUACCAAAUGUUCUCCAUGGAGCCUGUCUAGAGUCAAUGUAAUCCUUGCAUUGAAAAGCAAAUCAUAUAAUUUAUCAAGGUAAACAAAUUGUACGAACAUAAGCAUAUUUUAAAUAUCUUAACCCAAUAUAAGUUGUCUUUAGCGGUGUUCUUUUUUGGUCACAUUCUCCUUUAACAAAAGAGAAUAACUCUUUACAAUUCUUAUUAACAGUGGUAAUAAUUUUCCCUAUAAAAUUAUUGACCGCAUAUUGAUUUAAUCCCUCUAGAAAAACAACAGAGAAUCCUUCUUCCAUGCAAAAAGCAUGACAGAAAUGGAUUUUUGUAUUAUGAGCUGUAAUCCAUCUAACGUUUUUAAAAAGAGGGAGAGUGUGUGUUUAUGAGCAUUUGAUCGUAGUCCUCUCCUUAAAAUGCCAUCCACGGCUGCACUUGCAAAUUGGUUUUAAGUGGCCUUACCUGAAUAUUUGUUGGCCAAAUGUCAGUCUACUCUGAAUGCUACAAUAUUUGAUUUUCUGCAAGGUUUUGCUCCUGCAUUUUUGUGAUAAGUGGAAAUUGCAGCUGCUUUCGAGAAGUGAAUUAGAUUUCUGGUCCUUGUGUCCCUAAAGCAAAAGCUGAGAAAGAUGAGCUGUAAGCCAAAUCCAAGAGAUGAUAGGUGUUUAUAAGACACUCCCUGCCCUGGUUUAUAGUUGCUUGUAAAACUCACGCACACAACCACCCACUUGCCACUGCUUUUACAUUAAAACUGGUUACCCAUCAACUGUUAGCAUUAAAUUAUCCUGCUUUUUAAAGAGCUGUUUAACUCUUCCUGUCUUCUGUUAAAAGACACAAGACUAAAAUCAUUCACCUUCAUAACAGCCCCUCCUUAAAAAAUAAAGAAACAAAUACUAGAGCAUUGAAUAAAAACACUGAAACACUGCUGAGUCUUCAGACACAAUACUCUGGCACUCUCUAUGCCAGUGGUUCUCAACCUUUCUAAUGCUGCAACCCCUCAAUAUAGUUUCUCAUGUUGUGAUGAUGUCCAACCAUAAAAUUAUUUUUGUUGCUACUUCAUAAUUGUAAUUUUGCUACUCUUAUGAAUUGUACUGAAAAUAUCUGAUAUGCAAAAUGUAUUUUUGUUCACUGGACCAAAUUUGGCACAAAUACCCGAUAUGCCCAAAUUUGAAUACUGGUGGGGUUGGGAGGGAUUGAUUUUAUCAUUUGGGAGUUGUAGUUGCUGGGAUUUAUAGUUUACCUGCAAUCAAAGGGCAUUCUGAACCAAACAAUGGAACUGAACCAAUAUGCUCAAUAUGCUCAAAUUUGAACACUGGUGGAGUUUGGGGAAAAUAAAUCUUGACAUUUGGGAGUUGUAGUUACUGGGAUUUAUUGUUCACCUACAAGAGCCCCUUGAACUCCACCAGCGAGAUAAUUGAGCCAAACUUCCUACACAGAACCCCCAUGACCAACAGAAAAUACUUUGGCAACCCCUCUGACACUCCCUUCAUGACCCCCCAGGGGUCCUGACCCCCAGGUUAAGAAACACUGCUCUAUGCCUUCUAGUAUUGAUAUAAUAACAGUAGACUACUUUGCAGGGUUGAUAUAAGCCAUGCUGUUUCAGUCACAUCAGCCUUUCUCUCGCCCAAUAAAUAUCCCGGCUCCCCAAUAUAUCUGGUGGUUGCCACGUCUUGUCUGUUGGACCGGAUGGUGCCAGGGAGCGGGUUUCUCAAUUCAACAGAAAGUUGUAGAUCACAAUCUCAGCUUUUAUACUGCAAAAUGGGAAGUGAUCAAUUGCGUAUAUGCAGUUAGCAAAUGGAAAUUCAAAUUAACAUGGAUGCUUAACAUCCUGAAGUUUCACACAACAGUUUCUAUGGAAACUAGAAUCUUUAUAUAGCUCUGAGGAUUUUGCUAACAAGCUGAAAUAGUGGCAUUAGUUGGGUGUAGGGCACAUUCCCCAUGGCGAGCAUUCAUUUUUAACAUGUACUAUGCAUUUUAUUUUUUUGGCUCAGUAGUCAUACAUUUUUCAACACCAAGGGUUUUAAAAAGUAAUACCACCACUAAUGGUUUUCUCAAACCUUAUGCAAAGUAGAUGUCAGGUUGUGAUAUUAAAAGCAUUUGGUUUCUGCAAGUGUUCUGAAAUGACAAAAAUAAAAAAAUUAAGCUUAGGGCAUGUUUCUUUUCUCUGGGUAUUUGGUUUUUACAUAUUCAAAAGCAGAGAAGGUUAUUGUUUGGAAAGCAGGUAGCCCCUAAGCUUAGGCAAGCCUCCACAAUUCUUCCAAAUCCAUUAAUAUGAAUAAUUAGGAAAAGGAUCGGACCAAGAUAAUUCUCGCAACUUCAGAUGUGGACUUCAACAUUUUUAUUUUUUGAUAUGAUUCAAGAGGUCUGCUUUCAAAUACCACUGUUUAUGUCUCAUUUCCAUGCUGCAUGUUGUAUAUUUACAUACUAAAUUACAGAAUCAUUUAUUAAAGAAAAUACAGAAACAAUUGAUGACAAAAUGUUGCAGUGUAAAAUGUUCUUGCUCAUUCUUUCAUCGUGUCAGCCAUGCCUUCCUACAUGAUACUUCAUUACAUUCCCUUCUCCUUUGCUUUUCUGUUCCUCAGCUUGGUUUUCAGUCAGUGUUGUAAUGCCAUUGAGUAUGCAAUAAGGCUCCCAUACCUUGGGAUCUGCAGUUGAACCCAAGAUGAUGAUGAUGAUGGUGAUGAUGAUGAUGGUGAUGAUGAUGAUGAUAAUAAUAAUAAUAGGCUUUAUUUAUAUUCCACCCUUCUCUCCUAGGGAACUCAGAGCAGACUGCAGCAUUUACAUACUUGUACAUAGUCAAACAUUCAAUGCCUUUGAAUGUCAAGAGCAGGGGUCCCCAAACUUUUUAAACAGGGGGCCAGUUCACAGUCCCUCAGACUGUUGGAGGGCCGGACUAUAGUUUUAAAAAAACUAUGAACACUGCACAUAUCUUAUUUUGAAGUAAAAAACAAAACAAAACGGGAACAAAUACAGCCUCAAUGUUAAUAAUCAUAAUAAUAAUAAAAAUAAUAGAGGGUUGGAAGAGACCCCUUGGGCCAGGGGUCCCCAAACUUUUUAAGCAGAGGGCCGGUCCACAAUCCUUCAGACUGUUGAGGGGCCGAAUUAUCAUUUAAAACAAAAUACAAACAAAUUCCUAUGCAUACUGCGCAUGUCUUAUUUGUAGUACAACAACAACAACAACAAUGAAAUAACAAUACAAUAUUUAAAAAUGAAAACAAUUUUAACCAACAUAAACCUAUUAGGAUUUCAAUGGAAAGUGUAACACAAUAUUAGCAUUAUAUAUUACUAUAUUGAACUAUACCACUAUACUAUUAUAUAAUAUGUAAUAUAUAACAUAUAAUUAAUAUUAUUCUAUGGUAUUACUACUAGUAUUAUAUUGUAUAACAUAAAAUUAUUAUCAAUAUUAUAUGUAUAUACAAUAUAUUAUAUUAUUAAAACUGAUAUAAAAUAUUAUAUUAUAAAACUGAGGGCGGGGGCCAGGUAAAUGACCUUGGAGGGCCGCAUCCGGCCCCCGGGCCUUAGUUUGGGGACCCCUGGUCAAGAGACACACAAACACAAACAAAGGCAAUGCUUCUUUCAUUUCCAGCUUCUGGAGAUGGUGCCCAUCUUUGACUGGGGAGGUGCUUUCUCCAUUUUUUCAAACCGAGGAGCCUGCAUUGUCACCUGGUCAUGUGGCUGGCAAGAUUGCUUGGAGCAUCUUUGCCUUUUCCCGCCGAAGCGGUACCUUUUUAUCUACUCACAUUUGCAUGUUCUCAAACUGCUAGGUUGGCAGGAACUAGGGCUGACAGAUUGGAGCUCACCCUGUCUUGUAGAUUCGAACUUCUGACCUUCAGGUCAGCAGUCCAGCAGUACAAGGGUUAAAAUCAUUUCACCACCGCGGCCCUCAUGGUGUCUUUAGGCAUUUGCUAAGUCCACAAAUCAAUUCUCAAUACAGUAUAACCCCCAUAUAUGCAGGGCUAGUAUCUGUGGUUUCAUUUAUCCACUUCCAACAAAAUAGGGCCUCUCUGGCACAGCUGUAUAGUAUUCUUGGGAUGCAGUCCUUCAUUUCAAUAUGAUUUGCUAUUGUCUGUAAUUUUGGUUAUCAGUGCAAUUUCUAGGAACAAAUCCUUCCUGAAUUUGGGAGCUGUACUGUAUUUUCAUCCAGGGAAUCAAACCAUAUGUCAGCUCUGUAAAUCAUCUGGAAGAAGAAGAAGAGGAGGAGGAGGAGGAGGAGGAGGAGGAGGAGGGGGAGGAAGAGGAGACAGCUUUCAUAUACUACAUCUUAACAUUACAACAGGAGUACCCUUGCAAGGUCCACAUUUGUCCACAUUUGUGGCCAUCCUUGCUAAUUAUGAAAAGGAGGGCAGAAAGAGUACAGUUCAAUCCAAAACCAAGGCUUGUCGUUGUGAGGUUGCCUCUUAUGGGGGUCCUCUCUCAGUUUUUCUAUUUCUAUUUUUUUAAAAAUACUUAUAUGGGAAACAUAAAAUUAGUAGUGGUCAGGUUGCUCCUCCUUUAAUUGAACAGGUGUCUCUUCCUUUAACUGAAAAGAGUUGUGGAUAUGCAUGAUGCAGUACUUCAACUUUUAAUUAGAAGGAUUCGCAUUCUGUCACAACCUUCUAAAAAUAACCAGCAUUUAGAGAGAACAGCCUUCUGGCAUGUCCACAAAGAAUAUUCAGUCUUGCCUUACAUUGAAAUUUGGCUUGCGUACUUUCUUUCAUUUGUCAGAUGUUGCUAUUUUUAUCCUUUGAUAAAUUCAAGUCAUUUUUCACGUUUCCUGCCCUGGCUAAAUUAGAAACUAUUAAGUGGAUUACACCAAAGUUAUUUUUUAAAGGCAACAGUAAAUAAAGUGCAAGAUCUAUGCAAGCAUUUGCACUUUCUGGAAAACCAUAUCUAAAUUUGGAACUUGAAAAAUAUCAUGUCUUCAACUGAAUUGUUCCAUAUUCUUUGUUGCUGAACAGAAUGCAGGAAAAGCCACAUUUGUCAGGGUGUAGGGCAGUAUUUUUCUGGGGAAAAGAGAGACUGAGGUUUUCCCUGAGUGUAGAACAUAAACAUGAGUCUCAUUGUUUCCAGCUGUUUUACUCAGGUUUUCUCUUGCCAUACAAUUUAAUUAUGGUUUUGUUCACAAUUGCCAGUUGUCAAAACCUUUUAGAUAUUUUUGUCUGUUGGAUUCAAUGCUUUCUUUAAAUCUAUAUAGCAAGAGUGGGAAUUUAGAAUCUCAUCCAGUGACACAGGAGCAGGCUUUUUCUCUUUUAGUGAGAAAUCUCCUUGGUCUCCUUUCCAUGUCACCUACAGAUUUGCUCCAGAGAUUAGACUGGUCAAAUGUAGAAAGUGCAUAAGCAGAGCAGUUAUGGUUCCAUUGGGAGAUGUAUUGGAUACAAUACACUAUACUAGGAGAAAGUUUAAUUGUACAAUAAGUUGAAUCCAGUAUGUGUGUUAUGUUCUGUUUCUUGUUCAGCUAUUGACUACACACUCAAUAACAAUAACAAUAAUAAUGUAAUAAUAAUAUACUUUAUUUAUAUCCUGCACUUCUCCCCUAGGGGACAUAGAGCAGAUUAUAGGAUUUACAGUGGACAUAGGCAAACAUUCAAUGCCUUUACAGUCACAUACAAUGAGACAUACAAAAACAAACAAAAGCAAAGUCUUCUCCUUUCAUUUCCGGCUUCUGGAGGUGGUGCCUAUCUCUGACUCUGGGGAGGUGCUUUCUCCGUUUUUUCAAGACAAGGAGCCUGCAUUGUUACCUGGUCAUGUAACAAGAUUGCUUGCUCUUUGCCUUUUCCCGCUGAAGAGAUACCUGUUUAUCUACUCACAUUUGCAUGUUUUUGAACUACUAGGAGCUAGGGCUGACAGAUGGGAGUCACCCUGUCUCACAGUUUCGAACUGCCAAACUUCAGGUCAGCAGUUAAGCAGCACAAGGCUUUAACUCAUUGUGCCACUGCAGCCUCCAAUGUUAAAGGGGGAAAUCUCACAAUUUCACAAUUUCAAUUCCAACCAGAUGUUACUGGUUUUCGAUUGUUUGUGCUGUUCUAAUAUAUUUUCAGUGUGUUUACCUUAUUACAUGAUGUUGUGUGUGUGUGUGGUAACUACUUGUGAAAACAAGUAGAAAAUAAUUCAAGAAACAGGCAAGCAGCUGACCCAUCCUUGAUUAAAUAAUGGAGAAAGCCCACUCUGUUCUGACCUAUAUGCAUUCAUGGCCAGGAACACAAAUAGAAGGAUUCUUGCAUUCAUCCAAGAAUCUAGCAUAGGACUUUGUGAAUGGGAGCUGAGGACACUUGUGCAUUUUAAUGGGGACUGUUGUACAGAGCAAAGAAUGGCUAUCCUGGGAAGAACAAGAACACCAAAGCAACUCUUUUCCAAUGAAGGGCAAACCAAGCAUAGUGAAUUAUUGCAGCAUCGGUCAAAUGUUAGCCAAAUGCUUCAAUGUCAUCAAUCUUGGAACACUGUUGGAUUUCUACUGUCUCAAAUUAAUAAUUACACAAAACACGACAGAAGAAAAAAAGAAGGGGACUUUUUUCAAUGGAGCCUUGGAACCAAACAUGGCUGCAGAGCAAGCUGAUCAAACACUCAUAGCAAAGCAAUUAAACUGAAAGUUAAAUGCCUUUGUGACCUGAAUGAGAACAAAAUGUAAACUACUGAGCUCUUUGGAUGGGGAUGAAAAGACAAGUACUGUCCUUGAAAGUGCUUGCCACAGAUUGGGUAUCCCUUAUCUGGAAUUCUGAAACCCAUAAUGUGCCAAAACCAUAAUUAUUCAUAUGGGUGGCUGAAAUAGAAUUUUUUUUGCUUUCUGAUGUGAACAAACUUUGUUUCAUACACACAAUAAUUGUAAAUAGUGUGUAUAUAAUUAUCAUCAGGCUAUGAGUAUAAAAUGUACAUGAAACAUAAAAGAAUUUCAUGUUUUGAUAUCUAUAAGAUAUCUUAUUAUGUAUAUGCAAAUAUUCCAAAAUCAGAAACAAAAAAUCUGAAAUCCAAACACUUCUAAGAAACAAGCAUUUCAGACAAGGGAUAUUCGACCUCUAACUUUCUCAAUAGUGGACCUAUAACAUAUUGAAAAUCCAUGGGACUGUAUCAGUAUAACCAAGAACUGGUGUCAGUAGGCUUCCCUGUAUGCUAAGCAAAACAGUCUUGGGAAUACUGUUUCCAAAUCAGUGAGUUGUGUGAUCCACAGGGAAGUUCACAUUGCUAUUGGUGUCUAGUAUUUCCGUUGCUGUUCUGACAUUGUUUCUUGCAUGGUGACAUCAAUUAGCUAAAUUCAAGCUGACAAGAUUGGUCAGUUCUUAUUGCACUCUCAUGCUGACUAAAUUUGCUUUUUCUGAAUGGGCAGGAUCCUUAUAAUCUCUAUUUUGUUUUUUGUGAGGAAAGCGUCACAACAUCAAAAAUUUUGUCUGUGAUAUCUUUUAAUAUGCAACUUAAAAGAAGCAUUUCUCUCCUGAACAUGAGAUGCUGCAUUGAAGAAUGUAUUUAAUUUAGAAGUUGGCAUGUAAAUAAUACUCACAUGUUUUCUCAUCCUCAAUGAGAAAGUAUAUCUCAAUGAGUCAAAAGAGAUAAGAGUUUAACCGUUUAACCAGAACUCUUGGACUCACCUUGCAUGAGAAGAAUGGCUAGUAUCAGACUACAUGAUGAAAUCCAGUCUGUUUUCCCAUAAAUCAAUAUACAACUUUAGGGAGCACUUGAGAAAAGUUAUUUUUCUAGAUUGCAGUUUCUCCCAUCUAGCAUGGGGGAAUUCUGGGAACUGUACUCCAAAACUAUUUUUUCUAAGAAUAUUGGAAUCACUGUGAUCUGUUUUUCACAUUAAUAGAAGUAAUUCCCUUUCCUCUCUGCCAUAGGCUUUCACUAGCUCUAAAGUGGGAGCCAUAGUAGUUGGAUUCAAGUGGGAUGCUGAAACAGGUGUGGUUCCUUUUCAUAUGUCAGUGAGCCUGCAUCUGCCUGGGGUCCCUUUUAUCAUCCUCUGGUAACCUGGUUAGAUGACCAGGCAGGAAGAGUUAACAUCUAUACCCGUGGUUCUCAACCUGUGUGUCCCCAGAUGUUUUGGUCUUCAACUCCCAGAAAUCCUAACAGCUGGUAAACUGGCUGGAUUUCUGGGAGUUGUAAGCCAAAAAACCUGGGGACCCACAGGUUGAGAACCACUAAUCUAUUCUCUACUUCAGUGUUUCUCAAACUGUGCUCCCCUGGGUAUUUUUGGACUUCACUUCCCAGAAAUCCCAGCCAGUUUACUAGUUGUUAGGAAUUGUGAGAGCUGAAGUCCAAAACAUCUGGAGGAGCACAGAUUGAGAAACUCUGCUUUAUUUAAUCAUUUAUAAGUAUUGAAAUCUCAGGAUUUUUAUGGGAUAGUUACAUGUUUUUUAUCUGUCUUUCGGGCUAUUUACACAUUCCCUUUAAGGGGGGAAAAAUAAACAUAUCAGUGUCUACGCUCAAUGUGUUCAUUAUGUUACAUGGUGUGGAAGACAUUAUACAGUCAUUACAGUAUAUGGCAGAUCAGAUACUUAGCUUUCAUAACAAUUGAAUCUUUAUCUCUGCAUCACUCUAGUAGAUUUCUCUAUAGUUCACACAAGGGGAAUACUUCCUUCUUAAACAAUUUUACUCAUUCAUUUAUCCACUAAGGAAUAUAUUCUAUUCUGUCUCUGGACAUUGCUGUAUCUAGCAAUAUCCAUUACUAUACUUAGCAAAAUGAGAUACAUAUUUGUUUAGCAUAUAAGACUAGCAGAGAACAAAGAUUCUUUCUCUUACCAGCAUGCUCUAUGUCUAUCAUCUUGUCUGGGCUAUCAGUGGACAACAGCACUGUUGUUAUCAAUGGCAUUGUUCUAUGCUGAAGUCUGAUAAGCCAGCUUCUAUUUCAGCUUGGCCUAGUUCAUAUUUUUUCCUAGUCUAAUCAACUUACACAUCUGCUCCAGUGAGAUAUGCAAUACUUAUAGGUCUUCAUUUAUAUUAGCACUAGCUUUGCCCGGCCACGCGUUGCUGUGGCAUGGAAAAUAAAGUAAUGAGAAGUAGGCAGGCUUUGAAGUUGCAAGGCUAUUCAUUCCUGUGUAUCUGUUUAGGUUUUUUAUUUAUUUUUUAUUGGAAGUCAUACCUUGGGUGUCGGUGUGGUGUCAAUUGGCCAAGUUGAGUAGGAUUUAAUGGCCUUGUAGCCUAAAAGCCUGGAGGAUUCUUCCCUGGGGGAUUCCUUUGUUGGGUGGUGUUAGCUUGGCUGAUUGUUUCUUGUCUGGAAUUCCCCUGUUUUCAGAUUGUAGUUCUGUAUUUACUGUUCUGGUUUUAGAUAUGUUUUAUGGUGGGAGCCAGGUUUUUUUCAUUGUCGAUAGAUAUACCUAGGUAAGAAAUGGGUUUAGGGCAGGUUUUCACCAUUCAUUCUAAACUCCUUAUAAUCCCCUAAUGAAGGUGGGGUUGAGUGGUAGUUACCAGCUCAAGUCAGACUGUCAUGGCUAAGUGGACACUUGAACCAGGAUCUUUCUCAUUUGUGGCUGUAGUCAAGUGAAUGGCCAAUUUUUAGUCUAACAUGUAAAGGAACUCUCUAAGGUACUGAGGUCUCAAUUCACCAAACAAAAGCAAAAAUAUAUUCCAAUACCUAAGAUCACUGGGUAUCAACCUGUGGUUCCCCAGAUGUUUUGGCCUUCAGCUCCCAGAAAUCUUAGCAGCUGGUAAACUGGCUGGGAUUUCUGGGAGUUGUAGGCCAAAACACCUGGGGACCCACAAGUUGAGAACCACAGCCUAAGAUCAACAGAGAAUGACAUGCUUUCUCAUUUUUAUGCAGUUAAACUGUCAAGGCCUUUCUUCUUUAUGGGCACUUGUUAUGGCUUUUGGAUAAAGUCUUUGUGUCAGUUUCAUUCAUUUCAACUGUAGGUGAGACUCACUAUAGGUUUCCCUGUCACCAACCCAGGAGGUUUGUCAUCGAGAAAGAGCACUGUGGAGGAAAUAAUGGUGGAAAGAUCGGCACAUGAUGAAGAGGGACAAGAUUGCAUAGAAUUACCAGCCCUAGAUGAACUAGUUAAGUAAGCAGGGUUUGCUAAUAGCAUUACAUCACUCUAGGUCUAAUGAUUGUGUCACAUGUGUUUUAGAAGAUCCAACACAAGGGGAAAAUGCCCAGUCAUCUAAUGAGUUAGUCUGGACAGUUUUUAAUGAUUUGACCUGAGUAUAAUUCUUUAAUGAUUAACUGGGCAGUCACUGGCAUGGGAAGAAAUAGGUUUAAUAAUUAAAAAAAAUAAAAAACAACGGGCUUAGAAGGAAAAAUAAUUUGAAGAGAUUUUCACUUUUCUGUUUUAUAUAUGCCAGAAUACCUCUUGUCACAUAGCUGUGCAUCACUUGAAAACACAGAAUGCCCUUGUCUAUUUGAGUGUUUCUACUUAUCUGCACAUUUAUGUGAAUUGUCUGAAUGCAGUAGUUAAUUAAUUGAUCACAAUUCAUAUAGGUAAUCACUUUGGUUUUUGUUAACUGGCUGACAGUCCUGCUGGGAAUCAGGAACUUCAAAACAAAAAUAGGAUGUUGUUAAUGAAAACUAGAAAUCUAUUUAUUCAGGAGAAAUGUUUUCAGACCUAUCUGGAAGAAGUAUGUGAAAAAAGGCAAGCACCCUUGACUUGGAGAUAAUUUGUUAUUUUAGGUAAUACUUCAGUACUCAUUUCUUCAAUUGCUUUUCAUAGUUGAUUCUGAAUGAAAUAAUAGUAUCUUUCAAAUUCUGCCACUGCCAGACUAACAUGGUUCAGAAAAAAAAACCUGUCUGUGUUUGCUAAAUUGUGAAAGGUAGUCUUCUUCAGGUGGUUAAAGUAGGGACCAUCUAGAGAAGGGAUUCUUAACCAGGGGUUAAUGGACCCUUUGAGGGUCUGUGGAAAGACUUCAGAGGGAUUAUGAUCUUAAAUUAAAAACAUCAACUUAGCAUCUUUACCUUUAACUGGAAUCUAGCAUUUCCUUCACUUUGAAUUUAUACAUUACAGUAGUUAACAGGUAUUGAAAAUGUAGUUUUGAAUAAUCCUAUUUUUUAAAGACAUGCCAUUGUUGAGUAUCAUAAAACUAUCUGCUGCUAGAGGCUCAAGGUAUUUGACCCACAGAUGACAAGAUGUUUAAGAAAUCCCCAUACCAAAUCAGUGCAAGAUUUAUCAUGCAAGGUUAAUUGUCAUUGUUGUGUGCCUUCAAAUAAUUUUGGAUUUAUGGCAACUCUUCCUAUUUGGUAAUAAACUGGAAGAAAAUCAAACCAACAAAAACAACAAAAAACAACAACAACAACAACAGGGUAUAAUAUCUCACAAUCUCUGAGGAUGCCUGCCAUAGAUGUGGGCGAAAUGUCAGGAGAGAAUGCUUCUGAAACAUGGCCAUAUAGCCUGGAAUGCACACCCUGUGAUUCCGGCCUUGAAAGCCUUUGACAACACACAGAACAAUAACAACAAUAAUAAUAGCAACAACUUUAUUUCUGUCCUUCCCUAUCUCCCCGAGGGGACUCAGGGUGGUUAUCUCAAUUAACUAUCUCAAUUAACAGGCAAACAAAUACAGGUUGAGCUGACCUGUGAUUUAUGAUGGUUUAAUGUACACAAACUUUGUUUUAUGCAAAUAUUUACUAAAAUGUUGUUUAUAAAAUUACCUUUAGGUUAUGUGAAACAUAAAUAAUUUUUUUCAGCAGAUUAGGGUCCUACCUCCAAGCUUUCUCAUUAUGUAUUUAUAUGCAAAUACAGGUAUUUCAAGAGCUGAAAAACUCAGAAGCUCAACCAUUUCUGGCUCCAAGCAUUUCAAAUAACAGAUACUCAACUUAUGCAAAUCUUUGCUUCAAUACAUGAACAAAGCUGGAUAUUUUUAUUUUGUGAGCACAUGGAGUAGGAACAAAUUAAAAAUGUUAUUUUGCUUAAUGUUUUCCUUCAAUUUUCUGUCACCCUUGUGACUUUGAGCCCUAAGCUCUGCUGCACUCCAUUCAAAGAAUGGCACAAAGGCUCCAGGUCAAGGUAAAUCUGAAAAGCUACAAGUACAGUAGAGUCUCACUAAUCCAAGCUAAACGGGCCAGCAGAAGCUUGGAUAAGCGAAUAACUUGGAUAAUAAGGAGGGAUUAAGGAAAAGCCUAUUAAACAUCAAAUUAGGUUAUGAUUUCACAAAUUAAGCACCAAAAUAUCAUGUUAUACAACAAAUUUGACAGAAAAAGUAGUUCAAUACGCAGUAAUGUUAUGUUGUAAUUACUGUAUUUACGAAUUUAGCACCAAAAUAUCACGAUAUAUUGAAAACAUUGACUACAAAAAUGGCUUGGAUUAUCCAGAGGCUUGUUUAAGCGAGGCUUGGAUUAGUGAGACUCUACUGUACUUGUUGUCUAGGGAUGGAUGAAUCACUCUGUGUGUAAUCCUUGUCAGUUUUGCAUGUAGCCAAUCAUAAAUCCUUUCCCAUCGAUUUCUGCAUGUAUCUGCAUUUUUUUGAAAGCAUGCAUAGACAUCUUUUUGUAUAUAGCCUUUUCCUUACGCUCUCAUUUUAUACCCUUUUACAAGUUUAUACAUUCUGUGUGCAGCUUUUCUUAGAAUACAGAUGUUUAAUAUGCACUUUUCAGAGAUAAGUACUGCAUCACAAAAUUCAGAGAAAUGUGCAGUCAGGAGGAUAGCUGUAUUCCAAUCUAAAUAUUAAUCUGCUAAAUGCAAAUUUUAUAAAUCCAUGUCAGAAACGAAGUCAUUUCCUCACGUCUAUUUGUAUCAGAAAUGUACCUGAACAGAAAACUGACCAGAGUGUGGAGACAUUGCAUAUUGAUACAGCACAAGGUUCAUGUGAAGAAGUUUCUGGGUUUGACCCCACAUAUCUCAGUCAAGAAGAGUUUUGGACUGGAUCUACACAGUCCUAUAUCCCAGGAUCUGAUCCCAGAUUAUCUUCUUAUGCCAGAUUAUUUGGUAGUGUAGACUCAUAUAUCCAAUUCAAAGCGGAUAAUCUGGCAUCAGAUCCUGGGAUAUAGGACAAUGUAGAUCAGUGGUUCCCAAAGUUAUUUGGCCUACCGCCCCCUUUCCAGAAAAAAUAUUACUCAGCGCCCCCUGGAAAUUAAAUUUUAAUAGCAAUUAAAUAGAAAGAUAUAUGUAUUAAUGUAUAUUGCAAAUGCAUCUGUGGCCAUCACCGCCCCCCUGGAUCACUGCAGCGCCCACCAGGGGGCGGUAGCACCCACUUUGGGAAUCACUGACGUAGAUCCAUCCUUGUGUAGCAGGCUGGUAAGUCUUUGUUUUUUAAGAACUUGGAAAGCCAUUGCUAAUUAGAGUAAACAGUAUGGUUGAAGAUGAUCUUAUAGUAAGCUAAUAACUGAUCCCUCAUGAAGCAGCUACAUUUGUUUCUAUAGUCAGAAAUGCCACAAAAAUGCAGCUUGGACCUGUUUUGAGAAAGGCAAAAUACUAAUGUAGCAAGCAACCCCACUCUAUAGUGAAUGGUUAAGGCCCCUUCCACACAGCUGAAUAAAAUCCCACAUUAUCUGCUUUGAACUGGGUUAUAUGGCAGUGUGGACUCUGAUAACCCAAGUCAAAGCAGAUAUUGUGGGAUUUUCUGCCUUGAUGUCUGGGUUAUAUGGUUGUGUGGAAGAGCGCUAUGAGAAGAUGAAAUGUAACAAAAUUCAAAAUACAUGAGAAACAAUAAUAAUAAUAUUAAUAAUAAUGAGCCAACUCCAAAACAUAAAAUAUAUUUUGCAAGCUUUUGAAUCUUCGUGGAUUUUUUAUGUGUAGAUGUUAAAAACCAUGGGGAAGAAAAGCAGGAUGGAAAUGAAAUAAGUAAAUAAAUAAAUAAAUAAAUAGAUAAACCAUUUAAGAAUAACAGACCUAUUUUAUUUUAUUUCCUGAAUAAAAUAAUCAGUUAAGUAGAGGCCAGUCAUUACCCUUUUUGGCCACAUGAGGACUGAAGAAAAAUGCAAUAAAAGACAGGUAAGAGAUUUCAACUCCCAUUAGUAUCAGAAAAGUAACUUCUCUAGAGAUCCCAAUGUCCCUGACUGCCCCUUUCUUAGCCUGAGAACACUGAACCUCUCAAGAAGCCUUUAAAUUAAGUUCCAGCCCUUUGGAUUCCCUCUUGUUUAGGAUUUCCCUAUUGUGGUGAAAUCUGGUGUAUUGAAAUCUAGGGGAGAAAGUAUUUGGAUCAAAAUGUACAUUGACAUUUUGCAAAAGGCUAGAUCAAAAUACAGAGAAAACAUGGCAACUUUGUACAGAGGCUGUCUUUUGGUCUGUGCCUUUGAUUUCCUUUGGAUUUCACAUCCCCAGAAAGAAAACUAUUGCAAUUAAACCGGGGCUUUCUGUUGCUAUAAGAAUGGAUCUUGUGAAGUGUCAGGGGAGCUAAAUGGGCAUUUCAGCACACAGCGGCUUGGGAAAAGAAGCUGCCAACCAUUUGAACUGUAGUCUUUGUGUUCUUUCCAGUUGUGAAUGGACAAACAGUGAAGGGAUAAAAUCCUCAGUGGCAUGUUUUCACACAGUGAUUGCAAAGCUACAAGGGCUUAUUUCUCUGACAGAAAAUGGAAAAAAUAACAGUGAGAAAACAGCAGCAGUGGUCAACAGAAUAAGGCUAACAGAAUUGGAUUUCAUGAAUCUUAGGGAGUAAAAACAUGAAUUUAUGUAGUAUCAAACAUGGUCUUCUAAUUAAUUACAUAAAAUGGCAACGGAAGUUAGGUGGGGAAUGUUUUGAGGCAGGACCAGUCCUAACAUUAGGGAGAAUGGAGCAGUUACCUCAGGGGCAGAUGCUGAAUAGUGUUGGAGGAUGAAACAGUAUGAUCUAGAAAGCCUUCUGCGCAACUCCUUAACUAGCUUGGAUUGUUCCAGUGCAGGGAGGAUACUGUCCCAUUGACAGUGCUGAAGUAAGACCACACUGCCAGUUUGAUCAGCUUCUUUAGAUAGAAAAACAGGAGUGGGGAGGGAAGUAUGGCUAUGGGGAGGAAAAUGUUUUGACCAAAUAAAGGAUGGGUGACACUGGGCUCAACAACAACACAUGUGAAAGUGAUCUUGGGGUCUUAGAAGAACCCAUGUUGAACAUGAGCCAACAAUGUGAUUCAGCAACUUAAAAAGUCAAUGGGAUCUUGGGCUGCCUCAAAGGGGGAGUUUAUUGUCUAGAUUAAAGGAGGAAAUAAUGCCCCUCUAUUCUGGUUUGGUCACCUGGAAUACUGUGUCCAAUUCUCAAUUUAAGGGGGAUAUUGACAAUCUAGAAAAUGUCCAAAGGAAAGUGACUAAAGUGAUCGAAGGUCUGGAAACCAUGCCCUAAGGAGCUGGGUAUGUUUAGCCUGCAGAAUAAUAAUAAUAAUAAUAAUAAUAAUAAUAAUAAUAAUAAUAAUAAUAAUAAUAAUAAUAACUUUAUAUACUGCUCUAUCUCCUCGAGAGGACUCAGGGCAGUUUCCAACACGUUUGCAAAAACAGUCAAUUGUCAAAUAAAUAUACAACAACGUGAAACACAGCAAACAUAAUAAACACAUCAUAACAAAGCAAACCAAUUAAGUUAAAAUAGACAUAGUUAAGAGUCAGAACAUUUCAUCGAGGGAUCAAGAACCAGUAGUCAGGGCAAGGUUGACAUGGUCCAUUUUAAGGGGUAGAUAAAACUUAUACAGCAUAUCGUAGGGCCAAGAGGUAAAUAGUUUACAGAGCAGGGUCUGCUUUGUUGCACACUGAAACUAAUCUUGUUCAAGGUUGAGAAGAGACAUGAUAUGUUGAAAUGAUGUCAAAAGGAAGAGGGAACAGGCUUGUUUCCUGCUGCCCUAGAAACUAGAACUUGGAGCAAUGGGAUCAAAUUACAGGAAAGGAGAUUCCACCAGAACAUUAGGAAGAACUUCCUGACUCUAAGAGCUGUUCAACAGUAGAACUCUCUGCCUUGGCAUGUGGUGGAAGCUCCCUCUUUGGAAGUCUUUAAUCAGAGGCUUAGGUGGCCAUAUGUCAAGUGCUUUGAUUGUACUUUUCCUGCAUGGCAGGUAGUUGGAUUAGAUAGCUGAUGUGAUUUCAUACAAUUCUAUGAUUCUACAACUAAUCCCUCCCUUUAGGCCUUCAUCCAUUGCUUUUGCAUUUAUUUAUCCUGCCCUUCCCACAUUAUUUGCUAACCUCAGUCCACAUCUUUGUCAUCACUGUGCUUCGCCCUCCUAUUAUUUCACCAUGCCAGCUUCUGCGUCCACUAGAGUUUCAGCUUCUUUAACAUAGUAAGUAGAAUGGUAAUGAUUUUCUCUAUUGGCUUCAGUAAUAAAUGGAAGGGGGAAUCAUGGUGUGCAUUAUUUAAGCUCUCACUUGCUACUGCAACAUCUCAGAACAGGCUUUGGGCUGUCCCAAGAAAUUGACAACCAUAUCUUGCCCGAGAUGAUAGUGGAUGUUGCUUUGCUGUGUAAACCUUUAACUCGUUCUUUUCAGAAAUCAGCUUGUCCAGCCUUCCAAAACUAGGUUCUAGCACACUGUCUCCUCUGCCAAACUGACUGGCUACUUUCUAUUCAUCCUCAUAGCCAUUUUGAUGGCUCAUAGCAUAUUGUGAAGUUGCGAUCAUUUUACAGCUGAGCUGUAUCAAAAGGACAGAGUGAACCUAAUGGAGUUUCAUGCUGCUGAGUUCAGAAGGGUGUGUUGCUGAUUUAUACUCAGCCCAUUGUGCAAUGCCAAAUACAGCUGUGUCCAAUCCUCUGGAGUACUGUGUGCCCAUCACAAGUAAUUAAGCAAGUUUUUAAACUACAUGGUAAACUGAGAAAUUGAGUCAUAAAUGAGCAAUGAAAGGACUAGGUCAAUCCAAAGAAAACGAGGUAAAACAUAAGCUGGGGCACUAUUGACUCAGUCUGCAGGGUAAUGCCAAGACAAGUGUUCUUCAUGGUAGUACAACAUGAACUGCCAUUUAUGUUGAGUAUAUGGUUACUUCUUUUGGAUCCUAAAAUAGCCAGACAUGCCUUUCUCUUGAGGAACAGUUUGCUGAGUACUUAAAAACGAGUCAUAUUUUAUUGCCAGCUGCAUGAACAGAAAUAGCUAGAAACUGAGAAAUGUUUUUUGGCUAUGCCGUAAACAGCUGGAUUUUAUGUGUUUAACGUUUCGUGCUGACUGGUCACUCCAUCAAAAUAAAUCGAGAGGGAUAAAGCCAAGUUCCAUUUCUGUGGAACUUUGUUCCCAUUUGUAUCAUACUGUACAUAUGUAGAAACACAGUCCAACACAUAAACCAAGGAUCAGAGAAGCUGCCUCAUCAUUUUACUUAUCAUUCUAGAAAUAUCUUCUGCUUUGUGACCUCUGCAUGGUGUGAAAAAAGAAAAGAAAAACAAGGACCACAAGUCAAUUUUUUGCAAAGAUUUAUUUAUCUUUUUGUUAGAGGCGUUUAAAAAUAGAACACAAAGCAAGAUAUAAGAAAUACAGAAGGGAAAUAAACAUUUUCAGUGUGGGGUUGCCAUACUUUAUCCAGAGCAAAGCUUUAAGAGCCUUUCUCUAUUUUGAGAAGAAAUUUUGCAACCCGGAGGCUCCAUUGUGUAGGCAGAAAUCUUGGCUUGCCUAUUAAAACUCAUCUUAAUAAGGUUGUUGUUUGUGUGAGGUGGGAAAAUGGAAACCUUACACCCAAGAGCAUUCCUUUCCAAAUUUCUGUCUGAAACGUAAGAACCAAUUGUAAAUCUUAAUGGUGUCCCAGUUUUCCUUCCUGUUCUGAGAAUUGAGGAAACUUCUGGGCCUCAGAGUUGCUAUGCUUGAGAGUCCAGCGUUACAGUACUUGAUAUCCUGGAGCCAAAAAUACUACCUGUGUUCUCUCAGAACUGUCUUCCUGUGUUAAUAUCAGUGUUAUAUGUGUUUCAUUGUUUUUGUUUUUAAGAUGAGCUCUCGUUUUCAGGAGAAAACAGCACAGCACACCACGAACUCAGCAGUAGAUAUGGUAACCUAUAUAAGUUAUUCCUGGAUGUACUUCAAACCUGUUUUACUUAAGCCUGAGGAAUGGGCUGGUUUAAAUCUCAGAGUGAUCUCCCUCACAAUGCACUGCCAUCCACUUCAGGAACUAGCAGAAUCCCUUCCUGGCCUAUAGCCAGCAUGCCCAGUGGGGCUGAGUGCUGCUUCCAUGUGGACACUACAUUCAGGGAAAGAAGGGAAAAAAACAAAUGACAUUUUAAAAGUCCCCUUCAUGUACUAUCAAUGGUUUAUUAGAGGAAUUAAGUGCCUUGUUUGUUUGAGGCUGUGUGCUUCCUUGGGAGGAAGAAUCAAAGUUGAGACAAAAGACUCAUUGAAAAUAGCUGUAAUAAUUAUAAUGAGGAGGAGGAAUCGGAGUAGGAAAAGAGGAAGGGUGAUCCUUUUCUCUAUUAUAGGAAUUGGGCAAAUGUAUAUGGCCUUCUCUGAGAUUUCUGGUUGCUAGGACAAAGGCGCUUUGUAAUUUUUUGUUCAUUUGUAAUUACGUUUAACAUGGAAAAAUUAUCUUGAGGGCUCCUUCAGAGAGUACCAUUGUGAAAUUUUGGGUCACCAAAUCAAAACACAGCUCCCCUGCCUUUUAAUAUACUUUAAAUAAUCUGUUAAGGAUGAAUGGGAAGAGAAGAAAUUGAGAAACACCCCUAAGGGUAUCACUCUACAUUGCAGAGGGGGGGAUCACUCAAAAUAUCUAACCUUAUUGCCCCCUUUGAGGAAUUCCUGACUCUUUGGUGCCAUGCAUUAUUGUACUUCAAACAAGUACUAGGAGACUCUAUGAAUCUCCAAGCAUUCCUCUAAAAAUGUAGAGGAGAGACUAUGGGAAAGAGAAAUCAGAUGUGCUCACCCCUUCCUAUCAAGGGAAUCAUAAUUAUGCAGUGUCACAUCAAAAGUGGUGGUGGGGAUAGAGGAUAUUUCAAGUAUUUGUUUGGCCAGUUUUGCAAUAAAGUGAUCAAAGAAACUGAGAUCUCACAUCUGAUGAGCAAGAUAUCCAAUAGAUGAAGUACAUUUUAAUCUUGGUUAUGAUUAAAAUGUUAUAUAAUGUGAUUUUAUUUUGUAAUGCUAUCUGUUUUUAUAUGAAUUGUUGUUUUGUACACUUUUUUAGGCAUUGAAUUUUUGCUUAUUUAUUGUAAGCCGCCUUGAGUCCCCCCUGGGAGAAAGGCGGGGUAAAAAUGAUGUAAAUGAUCAUUUUUUUUCGAUAGAGUUACGAGUUGGGUCGAUACAGGGAAUGCCGUGGAUGUAGCAUACCUAGAUUUCAGUAAGGCCUUCGACAAAGUCCCUCAUGACCUUCUGGCAAACAAAGUAGACAAAACUACAGUUAGGUGGAUCUGUAAUUGACUAAGCAAACGAACCCAAAGGGUACUCACCAAUGCAUCGUCUUCAUCAUGGAAAGAAGUCACGAGUGGAGUGCCGCAGGGCUCCGUCCUGGGCCCAGUUCUGUUUAACAUCUUUAUUAACGAUUUUGAUGAAGGGUUAGAGGGCACGAUCAUCAAGUUUGCAGAUGACACCAAACUGGGAGGGAUAGCCAACACUCCAAAAGAAAGGAGCAGAAUUCAAAACGAUCUUAACAGACUAGAGAGAUGGGCCAAAACUAACAAAAUGAAGUUCAACAGGGACAAAUGCAAGAUACUUCACUUCGGCAGAAAAAAUGGAAUGCAAAGAUACAGAAUGGGGGGGCCUGGCUAGACAGCAGUACAUGUGAAAAAGAUCUUGGAGUCCUCGUGGACAACAAGUUAAACAUGAGCCAGCAAUGUGAUGCGGCUGCUAAGAAAGCCAACGGGAUUUUGGGCUGCAUCAAUAGGGGUAUAGCAUCUAGAUCCAGGGAAGUCAUGCUCCCCCUCUAUUCUGCCUUGGUCAGACCACACCUGGAAUACUGUGUCCAAUUCUGGGCACCACAGUUGAAGGGAGAUGUUGACAAGCUGGAAAGCGUCCAGAGGAGGGCAACUAAAAUGAUCAAAGGUCUGGAAAACAAGUCCUAUGAGGAGCGGCUUAAAGAACUGGGCAUGUUUAGCCUGCAGAAGAGAAGGCUAAGAGGAGACAUGAUAGCCAUGUACAAAUACGUGAGGGGAAGUCAUAGGGAGGAGGGAGCAAGCUUGUUUUCUGCUGCCCUGCAGACUAGGACAUGGAACAAUGGCUUCAAACUACAGGAAAGGAGAUUCCACCUGAACAUUAGGAAGAACUUCCUCACAGUGAGGGCUGUUCGACAGUGGAACUCUCUCCCCCGGACUGUGGUGGAGGCUCCUUCUUUGGAGGCUUUUAAGCAGAGGCUGGAUGGCCAUAUGUCAGGGGUGCUAUGAAUGCGAUUUCCUGCUUCUUGGCAGGGGGUUGGACUGGAUGGCCCAUGAGGUCUCUUCCAACUCUACUAUUCUAUGAUUCUAUGAUUCUAAAUAAAUAAAUAAUACAUCUGGAUGCACAAGAGAUUAUUUAAAUUACACAGAAAGGAAGAUUUCUGACCCAUAGUCAGCCCAGGUCUUCUGCUUUCUGAGGCAAGUACAAGAGCCCACAUCACACAACUCCACACACAGAUGCCAGUUAAGAUUUUGCUUCAGUGGUUCUCAACCUGAGGUCCCCAGAUGUUUUUGGCCUUCAACUCCCAAAAAUCCUAACAGCUGGUAAACUGGUUGGGAUUUCUGGGAGUUGUAGGCCAAAAACAUUUGGGGACCCCAGGUUGAGAACCACUGUUUUACUUUAAUACUAACUUCCUCUGCUGUGUUUUGAGGGUAACAGGCUAAGUUAUGGGAUAAUGAUCAGGGUACGUGACACACAUACUCUCUCCUCCAAAUCUUUCCCACUUCUCUGUUCUACGUUCAUGCAUCUUAGUUCAGACACAGAAAACCAAAAAGUGCAGUUCCAACCACUAUAUCCAAAUCACACUUUAUAUCCUUGUAACUGCUAACAAGGAUUUCAGUAAGCUUUCUUAGUUAUUAUAAUUAUAGCCUUGCCUUGAAAAGGCAAAUGCAACUGCCAACACCACUGCUGGGCCUGAGGCUAAUCAAGAGAAUGGAGCCAUUUGUCAGCAUCCUUGAAUCCCACUGCAAACAGGAAGACUGACUACAAUAGGCAAUUGUUCAAAGUAGUGUGUCUCCAGCACUUACCGUAUUUGUAUGUUAUUAUGAAACUCUGUCUUUCAACAAAUACUCAAGUGAGGGUUCUAACAAACGAUAAACAUCCCCCCCCCCCAGACAAAAUUAGAUUCCACUAUCAUGUCAAGAACUUUCUUUCAAACAUUGCCAACUAGCUGACAACGCCUUUGAACUACUGACUUGGACAAGGGCCUAUUGUAGCUGAUCAAAUAUUCCUUAUUUGCUUUAGUCACAAAACAAAUAUCAUGUGGAAACUUUUUAACGCUUAUUUUGAAAAAAUAGGGCACCCUGGUAUCAAAUUGAACCAUCACAGACUCCACUGAUUUUCAGUUACUGGGAAGAACAUGCCCAAUAUUGUGCAGAUUUUCAACAGCCCAUACAAUUUACAGAAUAGAUCUGUACUCCUUAUGUUUUCACACUACAGUUACUGAAGCCAUAUCAUAAAGGUAUAGACUAAGGGCCCAUUUCCACUGCCAUAUAAAAUCCCAAUUAUCUACUUUGAACUGGAUUAUACGGCAGUAUAUACUUAUAUAAUCCAGUUCAAAGCAGAUAAUGUGGAUUAUCUACUUUGAUAAUCUGGAUUAUAUGGCAGUGUAGAAGGAGCCUGAGUUUGCAGGACCUGAUCUGGGCUGUUGAUAGUAGAAUGAUUUGGAAAUCUUUUGUUUGCAGGGCUGUCAUAAGCCAACGUUGACUUGAUGGCAUUUAACAACAACAACAACAACAACAACAGGAAAUUGACCUUGAUUCCACUGGAUUACCGUAAUUGUUGAUCAGGCCAGGAGCAGUAACCAUCACAUUCAGCAUACUCAUAUACCUUUAAAAAAUAUUAAGUGAUUUUAAACAUAGAAAGGGUGGGAACAAUAUUGGGUGUAGGAAAGAAAGUGAAAAGGAAAAGGGAAAUGGUGAGGAAAAGGGAAAAAACGAAAAAAGUAUAUAAAAUGAUUUUUUUUUAAAGAAAAGGCUUGGCCUUCUGUUCUUCCUUUCGGUUUUAUUAUCCGUAGUUUGCCAUUUUUCCUUUUUGUUUAGUCCUUCUUUCCCAUUUUAUUUCUAUUUUCAUUAUCAAAUUUCCAUUUUCUAUAGUUGGUAUUCCAUUUUAAUGUAUUCUUCUAGAGAUGACCAACUAAUCAUUUUUAAACCUCUAGCAUUACCCUUCUUUAAUAGGUAAGUUAACCUAUCCAUGUCCUUUAUUUCCCUAACUUUGCUUAACCAGUCCUCCUUAGUUGGUAACUCAUAUGUCUUCCAUCUUUUCGCAAAUACUAUCCUGGCUGCUAUUGCCAGAUAUGUAAGUAGUUUUUCUUUAUUAGAGUCUUUUAUAAUUUCCUUUUCAUAUAUUCCUAAUAAAUGUAUUUCAGGUCUCAUUGUAUAACUAAUUCCCAGAAUUUUUUGACUUUCUUUGUGUAUCAUCUUCCAAAAUUCCAUUGUUUUGCUGCAUGACCACCAUAAAUGGUAAUAUGAUCCUUCUUUUUCUUUACAUUUCCAGCACCUAUUAUCCAAAUUUUUAUUACAUUAAUCCUAAUUUUUAGGGGUUAUGUACCAUCUAUGCAGUAUUUUGAGCCAGUUUUCUUUUAGGUCCAUAGCGUAAUUAAAUUUUUAAUUUUCUUUGCCAUAUUUCUUCCCAUUCUUUCAUCAUUAUUGGUCUACCAAUGUUUCUUGCCCAUUUCAUCAUUGAAUUCUUUAUUUCUUCUGUUUCAGUAGCCCGGGCAUUCCAGCAAUUUGUUGUAGAUUUUCGUAAUCAACUUUUUUUCCGUAGAAAGUAUGUUAUCCCAGAAGUCUUCCUUUUCAUUAAAUCUAAUUUUCUUAUCUAUGUUGUAAUGUUCUUUAAUGUUCUUUAAUGUUGUAAUGUUCUUUAAUUUGUAAAUAUUGGAGCCACAUAAUCUGUUUAUAGUUUCUUUUUAUGUCUUCAUGUCAUCUUAAGUUCCAGGAGUUACCCUUCUUUAUCAGCAAUUCUUUAUAUGUAGGCCACUUCAUCCAGCCCAACAGUCUUCUUUGGUUUGCUUCCAGUGGAGCCACCCAUAAUGGAAUCUUUUCAUAAAAAUAAUGUUUAUAUCUUUCCCAUACCCGUAGAAGGGAUGAUCUCACAAAAUGGUUACCAAAGUUCUUCUCCUCUGUGGACCCCUCAUACCAUAGGUACGAGUGCCAUCCUUUCCUCAGGUCAAAUCCUUCCAGUGUCAGUAGUUUAGGUUUUGUCAAUUUCAUCCAUUCCAAAACCUCUCCUCCUUUUAGAAUCAGUCAUUAUUGUAAAUUUUAUCCUGGGUUUUUUCCCCCUUCCAUAUACAUUUUGACAAAUCUUUGUUCCAUUCUUUGAAACGUUUUAUAUUUCUAAUUAUUGGUAUUCUUUGUCUGUUGCCUUGUUCUUGCUUCUUCCCUUUUACUCCUUUCCUUUGCACGUUGUUUUGCCCGUUGUUCCUAUCGCCGUCCCUCACGUGGUCCCAUCUGCCAGCCCCUCCGUUGUCCUGUCUUGUCAGGAUGCUGUCACUUUAUUUUCGGUUCUAUCUGCUCCCCCCCCCCCCCAAGCCGCUCUUUCUCGGCUUUUCUCCAUCUAACAAAAUAUUACAAACCUUGAGCAUUCACCUUCCCGAAGUAUCUAUGAAUAACAAAUGAGUGCAAAACAAGCAACUUAGUAGUCUAAAAAAUUCAAGUUGUCAUGUUCACAUUUGUUGAUACUCAGUGGACUAAUUUAAAUCUUUCAUUUGGUGGAGUGACUCUAAUUAAUUGAGGCUUUAUUUGCACUGCAGAAUUAUAGCAGUUUGACACAACAUUGCCAUGGCAUAUGCUGUAAAAUUCUAGAAUUUGUGGCUUUGUGAGAUACUUACAAAAAGCUCUGGUGACACAACAAAUGAUAACCCCAAGAUUCCAGAUGGUGCUACAGCUGUUAAACUGCAAUAAUUGUGUAAGAUGGGUAGCCUCAAAGAAACAGAUUUUUAAAAGGAUAAUGAUUUUGACACUCUAAUCAACAAAAACUGUUCUGCCUGUUUGGUUUGUCAGGGAAUGAAAUGCACCAGAUCAAGAACUCAAUUUAAGAAUUUUCACCUAUCUGCUAAACUGACAGUAAGAAAGGAAUAACACCUCACUGGUUUCGUUUACAGAUUGAAGUGCCUCCGUGACAGUACUUAUUCAGAGUUAUUGCAUAUGGCUACAAUUUAAUCUCUUGACCAAGUUGUCACUGUUGUACCAUUAAAAUGUACAAAUGUG